RNAcentral lists this ribosomal RNA (303 nucleotides) under uncultured bacterium. RNAcentral's name for it is "partial 16S ribosomal RNA". It matches the Rfam family "Bacterial small subunit ribosomal RNA", at positions 507 to 807 of the family's 1533-position model. The record is from RNAcentral.
AGCAGUCGCCGCGGUAAAACGGAGGAUCCAAGCGUUAUCCGGAAUCAUUGGGUUUAAAGGGUACGUAGGCGGUCUUGUAAGUCAGUGGUGAAAGCCCAUCGCUCAACGGUGGAACGGCCAUUGAUACUGCAGGACUUGAAUUAUUGGGAAGUAACUAGAAUAUGUAGUGUAGCGGUGAAAUGCUUAGAGAUUACAUGGAAUACCAAUUGCGAAGGCAGGUUACUACCAAUUGAUUGACGCUGAUGGACGAAAGCGUGGGUAGCGAACAGGAUUAGAUACCCCUGUAGUCCCUGUCUCUUAUAC